CCCGACCCUAGUUAUGUCAUGUAUAUCCUAGAGGCUUUGUAGACAUAAGGAAGGGUAAAGUCAUGGAAGUUUAUAUAGUGAUGUUAUAUUUGUAUAUGUGGUGGCCCCGACGGCAAAGUAUUAUAUAUAUUUAUAUUUGUGCGUGUUGUGCUGAUACAGGUAAUUAGACCCUUCUAUAUGCAACAAAGUGUUGUCCAAAGUUUUGGUGACAUGUAAGUGAAAGUACAGGUAUUUGAACGGGUUCUCC
RNAcentral lists this long non-coding RNA (247 nucleotides) under Capsicum annuum. RNAcentral describes it as "long non-coding RNA (CANN_LNC020025)". Lineage: Eukaryota; Viridiplantae; Streptophyta; Magnoliopsida; Solanales; Solanaceae. The record is from RNAcentral.